GAUGGUACGAGAUAGUAUAAUGAUAUAUUUCUUAUCGCUAUAAUAGCUGUAUUGUUGUAUGUAUUGUUGUACAUUAGCGUGAUUUAUGAUGUACUAUAUUGUGUAGGGUGGAGGGGAACUAAAGGUCACCACUGCGUGCUGCAAACAUAACAACGUUUCGAAGCAUGGAGGGAAAAAUAAGUUUUCUUUCUAGGGUUUUCUGAUAUUUCCCUGCUUUAUACGGAUAUUUCGUCUUACUGACUAAUAUGUACGUAUUGAAAACCAUCUCCAUCUUCAAACUGUGAGCUGAGACGGAGGCUGGAGAAGAUGCAGAAUUGCUAUGGCAACAAGGCGGGGCGCCCCAGCCAGGAUGAGCAGGAGGAACAGAACGAGAGAUUGGCGGGACGGCACAUCGAGACGCUGGCCUUCCUUCAGGAGAUCGCAAAGGAGAACAAGGAACUCAAGGCCAAGGUGGAGACGCUAGAGGUAAGGAGGCCUAGUGAUUUAAGAGUCUUGAAUUUAAACUGUAGUGACUUACAUCUGAGACGUCUUUCAAAAGUGCUUUCAGGUUCAAGUUUGAAGUACAACAUGUAAGCACCCGAUUUAGCAAGGAUGAAAAUUAAAAUCUUUAUAAAAAUCACUAAGCUUGGGACCAGAAUUUUGUGGCAACUCUAAAUUAUAGAUUUCUUAGCCCAGUGCCUUCCUUAUAUAAAUUGAUAUGAUAAAAAUCCAUCGUAAAUAUUUCAGCUUUUCUAUCAGCAAAUCAACUAAUCAACCUAUCAACUAACCGACCUAUCAACUAACUAGCCUAUCAACUAAAUAACCUAUCAACUAUAUAACCUAUCAGUA
This is an RNA transcript of Branchiostoma floridae (Florida lancelet), 828 nucleotides long. RefSeq lists it as uncharacterized. The record is from RefSeq and is a predicted model, not a curated record. NCBI's taxonomy places the organism in Eukaryota, Metazoa, Chordata, Leptocardii, Amphioxiformes, Branchiostomatidae. The transcript has 2 exons.